GAGAAAUGAGGAUACAAACUUUGUCUUACUGUUGUAGUGAAGACUUCAGAUCCAACUCUGAUCUCAUGCUUAAG
RNAcentral lists this small nucleolar RNA (74 nucleotides) under Calypte anna (Anna's hummingbird). Its description in RNAcentral is "Small nucleolar RNA SNORD19". It matches the Rfam family "Small nucleolar RNA SNORD19". From Rfam's summary of the family: Homo sapiens C/D box snoRNA HBII-108: This snoRNA is the human orthologue of the mouse MBII-108 and is predicted to guide 2'O-ribose methylation of the small 18S rRNA on position G683. snoRNA HBII-108 is encoded in a nucleostemin (NS) gene intron like the HBII-210 Lineage: Eukaryota; Metazoa; Chordata; Aves; Apodiformes; Trochilidae. The record is from Rfam by way of RNAcentral.